Molecule: regulatory RNA element, 119 nt
Organism: Syntrophomonas wolfei subsp. wolfei
Lineage: Bacteria; Bacillati; Bacillota; Clostridia; Eubacteriales; Syntrophomonadaceae
Rfam family: Molybdenum/Tungsten riboswitch aptamer (Moco RNA motif)
Source: Rfam
AAACUAAAUAUACUCCGAGCCUGAAAACCUGGUAAUAAUACUAAGGGUUUCAGGCCUGUAGGGUACGGCGGGAAACGGCCGGGCCUCCCAUGGUGGAAAGGAGAAAUCAAAUGCGCUUA